RNAcentral lists this ribosomal RNA (301 nucleotides) under uncultured bacterium. Its description in RNAcentral is "partial 16S ribosomal RNA". It matches the Rfam family "Bacterial small subunit ribosomal RNA", at positions 509 to 807 of the family's 1533-position model. The record is from RNAcentral.
CAGCAGCCGCGGUAAUACGUAGGUGGCAAGCGUUGUCCGGAAUUAUUGGGCGUAAAGGGCUCGCAGGCGGUUUCUUAAGUCUGAUGUGAAAGCCCCCGGCUCAACCGGGGAGGGUCAUUGGAAACUGGGAAACUUGAGUGCAGAAGAGGAGAGUGGAAUACCACGUGUAGCGGUGAAAUGCGUAGAGAUGUCGAGGAACACCAGUGGCGAAGGCGACUCUCUGGUCUGUAACUGACGCUGAGACGCGAAAGCCAGGGGAGCGAACGGGAUUAGAUACCCGUGUAGUCCCUGUCUCUUAUAC